UACUCCCGCCGGCGACCGGCGCACGGGUGAGUAACACGUAUGAAACCUGCCCGUAGCAGGGGGAUAAGCGGAAGAAAUUCCGUCUAAUACCGCGUAACAACCCGAGGAGGCAUCUCCUCGGGUUUAAAGGAAGCGAUUCCGGCUACGGAUGGUCAUGCGUCGCAUUAGCUAGUUGGCGGGGUAACGGCCCACCAAGGCGACGAUGCGUAGGGGCUCUGAGAGGAAGGUCCCCCACACUGGUACUGAGACACGGACCAGACUCCUACGGGAGGCAGCAG
RNAcentral lists this ribosomal RNA (278 nucleotides) under uncultured bacterium. RNAcentral's name for it is "partial 16S ribosomal RNA". It matches the Rfam family "Bacterial small subunit ribosomal RNA", at positions 80 to 354 of the family's 1533-position model. The record is from RNAcentral.